Small nuclear RNA from Peromyscus leucopus (white-footed mouse), 166 nucleotides. RefSeq annotates it as U1 spliceosomal RNA. The record is from RefSeq and is a predicted model, not a curated record. Lineage: Eukaryota; Metazoa; Chordata; Mammalia; Rodentia; Cricetidae. The transcript has a single exon.
AUACUUACCAGGCAGGGGAAGACACCAUGAUCAAGUAGGUGGUUUCUUCCAGGGCGAGACUCACCAAUGGUACUUGGGGUGUGUUGACCCCUUCGAUUUCCUCAAAUGCGGGAAAGUCGACUGCAUAAUUUCUGGUAGUGGGGGACUGCGUUCGCGCUCUCCCCUG